UUCUUCGCUCGCAUCCUUCGUGAGGCAGCAGCAGGGGCUGCCUCCUGCCUUCAGUGCAAUAAGCAGUCACGCCAGGGGCUCAGGGAAUCUGUGGCGAAUCUCUGCAGCCGUGAAGAAAUCUCAUUCUUCCUCUGAACCCUUCGCGAAGGGAACGUUUCUAGCUGAUGACCCAGGAUCACCGACGCCACGGCCUGCAGCUUUCGCUGAAGCCGGCCGCCGCACCUCCGGUCCCUCCUCCUUCCCAAGCCUCGAGAACAGUGUACAGAAGCCAGACAGCCCUGAACUCAACCGGAUAAGCAGUGGAUGAAGGACAUUACAGAAACACACCAUCAUGACCUCUACUUCCUUCCAAAACUCCUAAAAAAAAAAAAACCCACAACUGAUAUCAGAUGUUCUGAGUAUGCUUAUUACAAGUAUCACAAGACAUACCAAAAGCCCAUUCCAAAGCACAUGAUGCGUAAGCAUGCAGAUCACAUACUUGUUACAGCAAAGUUUUAUUCCCUUACCUUU
Long non-coding RNA from Aquila chrysaetos chrysaetos, 510 nucleotides. RefSeq lists it as uncharacterized. Lineage: Eukaryota; Metazoa; Chordata; Aves; Accipitriformes; Accipitridae. The transcript is spliced from 4 exons. The record is from RefSeq and is a predicted model, not a curated record.